RNAcentral lists this ribosomal RNA (492 nucleotides) under uncultured bacterium. Its description in RNAcentral is "partial 16S ribosomal RNA". It matches the Rfam family "Bacterial small subunit ribosomal RNA", at positions 29 to 507 of the family's 1533-position model. The record is from RNAcentral.
AGUGAACGCUGGCGGUAGGCCUAACACAUGCAAGUCGAACGGCAGCACAGUAAGAGCUUGCUCUUACGGGUGGCGAGUGGCGGACGGGUGAGGAAUACAUCGGAAUCUACUUUUUCGUGGGGGAUAACGUAGGGAAACUUACGCUAAUACCGCAUACGACCUACGGGUGAAAGCAGGGGAUCUUCGGACCUUGCGCGAUUGAAUGAGCCGAUGUCGGAUUAGCUAGUUGGCGGGGUAAAGGCCCACCAAGGCGACGAUACGUAGCUGGUCUGAGAGGAUGAUCAGCCACACUGGAACUGAGACACGGUCCAGACUCCUACGGGAGGCAGCAGUGGGGAAUAUUGGACAAUGGGCGAAAGCCUGAUCCAGCAAUACCGCGUGGGUGAAGAAGGCCUUCGGGUUGUAAAGCCCUUUUGUUGGGAAAGAAAAGCAGCAGGUUAAUACCCCGCUGUUCUGACGGUACCCAAAGAAUAAGCACCGGCUAACUUCGUG